Molecule: small nuclear RNA, 106 nt
Organism: Phodopus roborovskii (desert hamster)
Lineage: Eukaryota; Metazoa; Chordata; Mammalia; Rodentia; Cricetidae
Source: RefSeq, a predicted model, not a curated record
GUGCUCCCUUCAGCAUCACAUAUACUAAAACUGGAACGAUACAGAGAUAUUAGCAUGGCCCCUGUGCAAGGAUGACACGUAAAUUUGUGAAGCAUUCCAUAUUUUU